RNAcentral lists this non-coding RNA (178 nucleotides) under Eubacterium sp. Its description in RNAcentral is "6S RNA". It matches the Rfam family "6S / SsrS RNA". From Rfam's summary of the family: E. coli 6S RNA was the first non coding RNA to be sequenced, but its function was unknown until recently. It consists of 184 nucleotides that fold into an extended hairpin structure with a large single-stranded internal bulge. Lineage: Bacteria; Bacillati; Bacillota; Clostridia; Eubacteriales; Eubacteriaceae. The record is from RNAcentral.
UCUAUCCUGAGGUGUUCGUUACAGCCUUAUUUUUGAACCUACAACUUUUUAUCGGGAGUCCGGAUGUUCUUUAUACGAUGUUAUGCCUCCUUGAGUGGACAACUGACUUUUAGAGACAGGACACCCACCUAGCAUCCGCUAGGCGUCAAAAAUGGCGGACGGCACGCUUGGGACUUUU